This 487-nucleotide ribosomal RNA is filed under the name uncultured bacterium. RNAcentral's name for it is "partial 16S rRNA". The record is from RNAcentral.
GCACGGAGUUAGCCGGGGUUUCCUUUAACGGUACCGUCACGACCACGUGUUGUUCACACGCGAUCCGUUCGUCCCAUUCGACAGGAGUUUACGACCCGAAGAUCUUCAUCCUCCACGCGGCGUUGCGUCGUCAGGCUUGUGCCCAUUGCGAACAAUUCCCCACUGCUGCCUCCCGUAGGAGUCUGGGCCGUGUCUCAGUCCCAGUCUGGGUGAUCGUCCUCUCAGACCACCUACCGAUCGUCGCCUUGGUGAGCCGUUACCCCACCAACUAGCUAAUCGGACGCAGGCCCCUCCCGAAGCGCCUUGCGGCUUUACUGAUGCCCGUGAAGGCAUCACCACAUGCGGUAUUAGCCACCCUUUCGGGCAGUUAUUCCCCACUUCGGGGCAGGUCACCUACGCGUUACUCAGCCGUCCGCCACUAACGAACAGAGCAAGCCCUGUUCGUCCGUUCGACUUGCAUGUCUCAUGCACGCCGCCAGCGUUUAUC